UUGAUGCUGAGGUAGGUUUGGACCAAGGCGACUCCAAUAGCCCAUAUCUGUCAUUGAGUCUUGUCUAAGUCCUUUGAGAGCCGGACGAGUACCUGUAGGAAAGUCCAUGUGAGCUCUCUGUGGACCAGACACCAUGUUAUGUCUAUGUUAGUCCUGUGAGCUUCUUUGGGGAGCCGGGCACCGACAGAGGGUAUUUUUGGGGUCAUG
Molecule: long non-coding RNA, 207 nt
Filed under: Manihot esculenta (cassava)
Lineage: Eukaryota; Viridiplantae; Streptophyta; Magnoliopsida; Malpighiales; Euphorbiaceae
Description: long non-coding RNA (MESC_LNC003838)
Source: RNAcentral